AUGCUAACACAUCGCCCCCACGGCAACUUCCAAACACGAGCACACCGCGGCGGCGGCUGCCGCCGUGGCACCCGGAUUUCACGGGCCCGUAUCGGCUGCCGGAGACCGAGUACCAUCCUUCUGAGCUUCAGCCACCGGCGCACCGACGGCCGACGAGCGAGGAUGCAUCUGACUCCGCGAGCACGAAAAAGAUCAAGUCCAGGGCACCGGGAGUCAGAUCCUGAGAUGUCUUCACAGGGGGACCCGGGCUCAGGCUCAGGCUCAGGCUCAGACUCGUCGGCGCACAGCUCCCCGGCGCGUGAGCCGGAGAUGCCGCUCGUACCAAUCUGGAGGAACUCCAAGGGGAAGUUGGUCUACGGCUUCACUGACGACAAGGCCGCCGUGGCCAAAUAUCACCAGGAUUUACAAAAGUAUGAGCAGAAGCUAGCUCGACAAGAAGAAUUGCUGACGCUCAAGCUGCCUUCCAAGGCCCCUGGUACCAACGAACGCUACGGCAGCCCCAAGAACAAGGACAUAAUUUUAAACGCCGCCAAAUCAAUCCUGAGUCUUUCAGCCUAUCUUGAUGGCAAAGAGAUUAACCGGUGCACAGGCAUUGUUGUCAAUCGAGAUGAAGAUACGAAAUCUCUUACCAUUCUCACCUCUGCCUGGCUUAUCUGCACAGAGAAACCAUCUAAUGAUUGGCUGGAUAAAGAAUAUGCUCCUCAAGCUAAGGUUAUUGUUCACCUAUUGGAUGGCACAACCGUCGAUAGUCAACUGAUGUACUUUAGCAAACAUUAUGACAUCGCCUUCUGUGAGAUUACGGGAGGUUUACACUUGCAGAGUUUACCAUUGGAAGGUAACUCGGAGUUCAGCAAUGAAACACUUGUGUUAGUUGCUAGGGAUGCAAAUCUAGAUUUAAUCUACAAAGAAGCCAAGCUGGCAUCUGUAGGCCCUUGUGAAUUCCAACACAAUCAUUAUAAGUUCAUCACCUGUUCAAUUCCUAACAAGUGUGGAACUGGAGGUGGACUGUUGGAUUUUAAUGGGAAAAUUGUAGGGUUAGUAUCCUACACAUUUCCUCUUGUUGCGUUUAUUCCAAGCUAUCUUAUAACGAAGUGUUCAACAUUGUUGAGAAAAUUUGGGCUAGACUGA
RNAcentral lists this ribosomal RNA (1128 nucleotides) under Triticum aestivum (bread wheat). RNAcentral describes it as "partial small subunit ribosomal RNA". The record is from RNAcentral. Lineage: Eukaryota; Viridiplantae; Streptophyta; Magnoliopsida; Poales; Poaceae.